GACGAACGCUGGCGGCGUGCUUAACACAUGCAAGUCGAACGGUAAGGCCCUUCGGGGUACACGAGUGGCGAACGGGUGAGUAACACGUGGGUGAUCUGCCCUGCACUUCGGGAUAAGCCUGGGAAACUGGGUCUAAUACCGGAUAGGACCCUGGGAUGCAUGUCCUGGGGUGGAAAGCUUUUGCGGUGUGGGAUGGGCCCGCGGCCUAUCAGCUUGCUGGUGGGGUGAUGGCCUCCCAAGGCGACGACGGGUAGCCGGCCUGAGAGGGCGACCGGCCACCCUGGGAAUGAGCUACGGCCCAGACUCCGACGGGAGGCAGCAGUGGGGAAUAUUGCACAAUGGGCGCAAGCCUGAUGCAGCGACGCCGCGUGAGGGAUGACGGCCUUCGGGUUGUAAACCUCUUUCAGCACCGACGAAGCGCAAGUGACGGUAGGUGCAGAAGAAGGACCGGCCAACUACGUGCCAGCCGCCGCAGUAA
Molecule: ribosomal RNA, 478 nt
Filed under: uncultured bacterium
Lineage: Bacteria
Description: partial 16S ribosomal RNA
Rfam family: Bacterial small subunit ribosomal RNA
Source: RNAcentral